MicroRNA precursor from Chlorocebus sabaeus (green monkey), 74 nucleotides. The record is from Ensembl. NCBI's taxonomy places the organism in Eukaryota, Metazoa, Chordata, Mammalia, Primates, Cercopithecidae.
GUGGGCCUGGGUCGGUGGGGACAGGGCGGCUGGGCGUGCCCUGCGGCCGCUGCUCUAACCGCACCGUCCCCCAG